Molecule: ribosomal RNA, 430 nt
Filed under: Acinetobacter sp. oral taxon C51
Lineage: Bacteria; Pseudomonadati; Pseudomonadota; Gammaproteobacteria; Moraxellales; Moraxellaceae
Description: bacterial SSU rRNA
Rfam family: Bacterial small subunit ribosomal RNA
Source: RNAcentral
AUUGAACGCUGGCGGCAGGCUUAACACAUACAAGUCGAGCGGGGAUAGGGUGCUUGCACCUGAUUCCUAGCGGCGGACGGGUGAGUAAUGCUUAGGAAUCUGCCUAUUAGUGGGGGACAACAUUCCGAAAGGGAUGCUAAUACCGCAUACGCCCUACGGGGGAAAGCAGGGGAUCUUCGGACCUUGCGCUAAUAGAUGAGCCUAAGUCGGAUUAGCUAGUUGGUGGGGUAAAGGCCUACCAAGGCGACGAUCUGUAGCGGGUCUGAGGAUGAUCCGCCACACUGGGACUGAGACACGGCCCAGACUCCUACGGGAGGCAGCAGUGGGGAAUAUUGGACAAUGGGGGGAACCCUGAUCCAGCCAUGCCGCGUGUGUGAAGAAGGCCUUUUGGUUGUAAAGCACUUUAAGCGAGGAGGAGGCGCUCUAGGAU